UGAAGAAAUAACAGUACCACGUCUGCCAAAGAUGUUCUCCCUGCUUGAUGAGUAGCCUCUGAAAUGAUCAACAAAAUUAUUUCUUAUAUCCUUUCUUAACUUUUCUACCGUAGCAUAGUACAUUCUGGGGAUAUGAUCCACUAUAUCCCGAAAUUUAGGAAAAAAUCAAUAUUUGAUGAAUAACACAGUAAAUCCUUUUUAUUUUUCUCUCUCAAGUCCAUGAAUGUCCUGAUCUGUACGAUGAGGAAAUUGCUUAUUAAACUUUCCUUUUAUUCUAACAGCACCUGAAGAACAUUGCCCUCCAGGAGCCCUCUGUUGCAGUUGCACAAGCAAUGGUCUAAUUUCAGACAUGAGGGCUUAUGAACUGAAGGAAUAUUUUCCUUUUCCUUCUCCUUACAGUUUUGGAAAUCUUUUUCCCAAAAGAGCUAAUUUAUAGCAAACCACCCUCCUGUGCCCCAAUAAAAUUAUCUUCUUCCCAAAUCUUAACCUGCUACAUGUGAUUUCUAUCUUGCUGGCUGUCAGUUGAUUUUGAGGAGUGGCCAAAGAGGAGAGUGGAAGAAGGUCUCCUGACUGAGAGAAACGCUGGAUUUGGUCCUGCAGUUAAUCAGAAUCCUGCGAUGGAGGCUGAAUGUGAGAUCCAGUGGCAGAGUCUGAUAUGUACAGAGAAUGACAAAAUGGUUGAGUAAGUGCAGACAGUCUUUUAAAUACAGUGGAUAUCUUAGCAUGCACAUUUGUCACGCAGAACUUCUGCAUGAAUGAUGGAGCUGAUAGGGUUUCAAUCAAUGUUUGAAAGCAAUUACAUUUCUCUCUGCCUUAUUGCUUAUGACAGCGAGGGCUAAGAAGCCUCGUCUGUUUCCAUUCUGUCCCCGAGGCACAGAUCCCAGGGAGAAGCCAGACCGCAGUGCUUGCCUUGUGCAGGUUCCUGUAGCCUGGCUGUCUGCAGCUCUCGUCCUGCCACAUGAAUGGAAAUGGCUUGGAUGCAGUAAAUAGUCUGGUACACACUGGCAGCUGCGAGCAAUGAACUGACAAGUGAUUUAUUCAAAAGGAGACAUCCAACACUCCAAAGACGCUUGCUUCCCAGACACACUUGGACUGACACAGGGUAUGGCUCUGUAGCCCUUUGCUCGGAGUACCCAGGUGGAGUGGUCUGUGCUGGCUGCUGCUUGAGUGCAAAGAAACCUCUUACUUCCACUGGUCAUUACUAUGGACAAAUCAGUCUUCUGCACAUCAUUGUACUAGAGACUUCCAAACUACCCUGGACUCAGAGAAACUGUGCUAUCUCCAGCAGGCGUUCAGAGGAAAAGGCAGCCUUCCAGUCUUCAAGAACACAAGAUUUGCCUUCACUGAAUUUGAACUAAAAAGCAGAAUCUCUUUUGUGCCUCGUGGAGCUGCUUACUGAGCGGCAAAGUUAAUUAUUUAAGCCCCUGUUUGUUGAGACUUCUCUCUGUUCUACAUAAUAAAUGUCUUUUCUUCAUGACUAUGGCA
This 1485-nucleotide long non-coding RNA is filed under the name Anas platyrhynchos platyrhynchos (common mallard). RNAcentral describes it as "lncRNA (ENSAPLG00000018043.1)". The record is from RNAcentral. Lineage: Eukaryota; Metazoa; Chordata; Aves; Anseriformes; Anatidae.